GUGGGGAAUCUUGCGCAAUGGGCGAAAGCCUGACGCAGCCAUGCCGCGUGCAGGAAGACGGCCCUCUGGGUUGUAAACUGCUUUUAUCUGGGAAGAAAAAGGCCAUGCGUGGCAAAUUGCCGGUACCAGAUGAAUAAGCACCGGCUAACUCCGUGCCAGCAGCCGCGGUAAUACGGAGGGUGCGAGCGUUGUCCGGAUUUAUUGGGUUUAAAGGGUGCGUAGGCGGCUGAGUAAGUCAGCGGUGAAAGACUUCGGCUUAACCGGAGCAGUGCCGUUGAUACUGGUUGGCUUGAGUGUCGGAGGGGUACAUGGAAUUGAUGGUGUAGCGGUGAAAUGCAUAGAUACCAUCAGGAACACCGAUAGCGAAGGCAUUGUACUGGCCGACAACUGACGCUGAUGCACGAAAGUGUGGGGAUCGAACAGGAUUAGAAACCCCGGUAGUCC
This 444-nucleotide ribosomal RNA is filed under the name uncultured bacterium. Its description in RNAcentral is "partial 16S ribosomal RNA". It matches the Rfam family "Bacterial small subunit ribosomal RNA", at positions 354 to 796 of the family's 1533-position model. The record is from RNAcentral.